RNAcentral lists this ribosomal RNA (251 nucleotides) under uncultured prokaryote. RNAcentral's name for it is "partial 16S rRNA". It matches the Rfam family "Bacterial small subunit ribosomal RNA", at positions 525 to 775 of the family's 1533-position model. The record is from RNAcentral.
ACGUAAGGGGCGAGCGUUGUUCGGAUUUAUUGGGUGUAAAGGGCGCGUAGGCGGUUUAGCAAGUCUGGUGUUGAAGGCAACAGCUUAACUGUUGUUUGGCGCUGGAAACUGGUAGACUUGAGUUUAGGAGGGGGAGCUGGAAUUCCAGGUGUAGGGGUGAAAUCUGUAGAUAUCUGGAAGAACACCGGUGGCGAAGGCGAGCUCCUGGCCAUAGACUGACGCUGAGGCGCGAAAGCGUGGGGAGCGAACAG